GGAGAAACUAUAUUGCUAGCGCUUCGUCGUCUUCACUUUGGAAAUAUAUACCAGAUCUCUUUUCCUAUCUCGCUCUCGCCGCUCUUUCUCUCUCGCUGGCGCCGAAGUGAGCUCUGACAAGCUCGCCGAGCAUGCAGACCUCGAAUCGACGAAGUUCAGUGGUAGACCACGCACAUCGUCGUCGAAUCUGGUCCUCUUCUUCGACGUCGUCGCCUCAGUACCACCUCCACCAAGUCCUCUUUUUCUCCUCCUCCUUUAAUUAUCUUUGAAAGUAUUUGAUGAUUUUGUUCUAACAUGAUAUCGUGGAACCCCAAAGGGUGGAGGCUCUUUGCUGUCCUCCUGGAAAAUGUUGCUUUUGGAAUGAGAAAGUAGCAACUCGAUCUGGGUAUUUACAUGUGUAAGGCAGUUCAUCAAUUUGUUCAUGUGUGUGUUUGACUGGGUUUUUGUGUUCAUUAUUGAAUUGAUAUUAGUGUGUAUCUAAUUGUGUAUAAUUUCAGUCUUAUGUGGGGAGGAGAUCUAGAUUAUGGUCGAGUGUAGGUGAAGAAGAAAAUUAGCUCCUCACCUGAUUUAGCUCUAGCCUCAGAUUGGGUUUUAGUUUACAGAUCCCCUCCAUGGGUAUUUCAAAGACGAUUUGUAUGCCCCUUUGAAUGAGGGUUAGAGUUUAAGCUUUUUCCCGAUUCCAAUUUCUCAUAGUCCUCACUAUUAUUGCUUUCAGGUACCGCGAUGAAGAUGGCGAGCCAUUGAUGAACCCCGAUGAGGUUAAGGAGAUGUGGGACACCGUUGACGCCGGCGAUUCCAAGGCACGUAGCAGCAUGGUCUCUAGUCUUAAAUCAGUUUCGUUUUCCAUUAGUGGGAAAAGGUUGAUUCAGCUAAUGUUCAGUUUGGAGGUUCAGUGUCAAGUUUGAGGAUGGUUAGCAUUUGUAGCUUCUGUUUCUUGCUUUUGUUUCAGCUUUGUGGUCAUAGUUCUUAAGAAGUUUGGCUGUGGUAAUAGUUGUAAUGCAGCAUUUCUUUAUGCCAUCUAAGGAGAUAGACUUUUAUGAGUCAGUUUGAUGGAUCAUAUAAGAAUGCUGAGGGGAAGACAAUAUGGAAAGAAGCCCUGAUAUUUAUAGAAUAAUGUGUCUUUACUUUGUUGGCUUUGCAGGGGAAAGCUUGUUGGGACAGAGCAUUUCUUUGUCUGCAUAAGGAAAACAGGCUCAUAGGUGACACUUCCAAGUUUUUGAUGGAACCCCAAGGUAAGGAUAGCUGCUCCGACCAAAAUUUUUGAUGCCCACUUUAAAAUUUGAACACGAGUAUUGUAGAGUAUUAAGUUUAGCCUUUAGUACAUAAGAGCAGUAAGUAGCUGUUUCAACUCAGAGGAUUGUUGAUUGUCUUACUAUGCAUGCUUUGGUGACAUGAUUCAUUGCCUGAGCUCCAACAUUGUUUAGCCUCUUAGUUAGUUUUAUUUCUAACAUUGACAAACUCUGUAGUUCUUCUCUUUUAUCAUUUUUGCAGCUUAUAAAAUGGCCGCAUGUGCAGCCAUGACAGAAUCUUCAGCAGUGGCGAAUCUCCAUCACUUCUAGAUAUACAUUAGACGGCGUUAAGGGAUGGCACUGAAAAACGCCAUGAAAUACAUUCCAUGACGUUUUUCAAACGCCAUAGAUGACUGUGUGUGUGUACUAUUGCCAUAUAUCUAUUCUUUGCAUCAUGUUCUAAUCCUUGCCCUCUUUUUCAGGUGUUAGCAUUAAGGUAUUAUAAAUUCUUGCAAGGAGAAUGAAAUUUUGGCAGAUUUGGAAACAAAUUUGGACACAAGUAAAGGAAAGCUAUUCAAAGUUGUUAAAGGAGCAAAUGAUGUACUCUUAUGUAGAUUAAUUAGGAUUAAUAGGUAUUGUUGUCCUACAAACUUAUGUCCACACUUCAAUUGAAUUUGUUUUUGAAGUGGAUUAUUGACAUUCAAUGAAGAGUUACUUUCCUUGUUA
Molecule: RNA transcript, 1955 nt
Organism: Fragaria vesca subsp. vesca
Lineage: Eukaryota; Viridiplantae; Streptophyta; Magnoliopsida; Rosales; Rosaceae
Exons: 2
Source: RefSeq, a predicted model, not a curated record